This 209-nucleotide unclassified non-coding RNA is filed under the name Hevea brasiliensis (rubber tree). Lineage: Eukaryota; Viridiplantae; Streptophyta; Magnoliopsida; Malpighiales; Euphorbiaceae. The record is from RNAcentral.
AUCGACUGCUAUAAUUCAGACUUGAAAUGAAAAGAUAGAUAGGAAAGCAGCAGAACUAAACCAGUCACAAGCCAGAAUCAAUUUCAUAAAAAUAAAUUAAUACAAGCAAAUUGGCGUCUCUCCAGGAUUAGCUUGCAAAGAUCUACUAGUGCAUGCUUGCACACUCACACACACAGAUAAUAUAUAAUUUUAACAACGACAAAGCAAGG